This 440-nucleotide ribosomal RNA is filed under the name uncultured bacterium. RNAcentral describes it as "bacterial SSU rRNA". It matches the Rfam family "Bacterial small subunit ribosomal RNA", at positions 958 to 1397 of the family's 1533-position model. The record is from RNAcentral.
AACGCGAAGAACCUUACCUGGACUUGAAGUGCACCGGACCAUCUGAGGAAACUCGGACUUCCCGCAAGGGACCGUAGUAUAGGUGCUGCAUGGCUGUCGUCAGCUCGUGUCGUGAGAUGUUGGGUUAAGUCCCGCAACGAGCGCAACCCUUGUCCUGUGUUGCCAUACCGAAAGGUGGAACUCGCAGGAGACCGCCAGGGAUAACCUGGAGGAAGGUGGGGAUGACGUCAAGUCCUCAUGGCCUUUAUGUCCAGGGCUACACACGUGCUACAAUGGACGGUACAAAGGGCUGCCAACCCGCGAGGGGGAGCCAAUCCCAAAAAACCGUUCUCAGUUCGGAUUGCAGGCUGCAACUCGCCUGCAUGAAGCUGGAAUCGCUAGUAAUGGCGGAUCAGAACGCCGCCGUGAAUACGUUCCCGGGCCUUGUACACACCGGCUAC